UACGGGGGGGGCAAGCGUUGUUCGGAAUUACUGGGCGUAAAGGGCUCGUAGGUGGCCAACUAAGUCAGACGUGAAAUCCCUCAGCUUAACUGGGGAACUGCGUCUGAUACUGGAUGGCUUGAGUGUGGGAGAGGGAUGCGGAAUUCCAGGUGUAGCGGUGAAAUGCGUAGAUAUCUGGAGGAACACCGGUGGCGAAGGCGGCAUCCUGGACCAUUACUGACACUGAAUAGCGAAAGCCAGGGGAGCAAACGGG
Molecule: ribosomal RNA, 253 nt
Filed under: uncultured bacterium
Lineage: Bacteria
Description: partial 16S ribosomal RNA
Rfam family: Bacterial small subunit ribosomal RNA
Source: RNAcentral